Molecule: small RNA, 3168 nt
Filed under: Pongo abelii (Sumatran orangutan)
Lineage: Eukaryota; Metazoa; Chordata; Mammalia; Primates; Hominidae
Description: processed transcript
Source: RNAcentral
GUGUGUAAGAUGUGCAAUGUUCCUGCAUGGGGGUUUUGUAGACUUUCAUAGCCAAAGAAACCGGCUUCGGCUUCUUUAAAAUCCCCGACGACUCACCUGAUUAACCUGCUGCAGUUCUGACCCUGCCAAGAGCUGACAAUUUACUGGUUCAUCAAUGAAACAAUAUUAAAUUAUGAAGAUGUAAGGAAAAAAUCCUACGCUAACACUGUCGCAGUUUGAAAGCUUUAAAAAGUUGAAGUCUAUUGGAAACCUUCUUAUAAGAAACCUUCCUAGUCAGAUAAUUCAACUUUCUUCUUUUCUUCAUUCAUGAAAAUGCAGAUCCACUGAGAAAGGGAAUAAGGUAAAAGUAUCAUUUUCUUUUGGGAGUCAGGUUUUUCUGUCAGAAGAAUAAAGGCCUUUCUUUCCAGGUCAAUUCCUGUUGUGCUGAAGGCUGGAAAUCAUCAUGCCCUUUGGGUGUGGACCCCAGCUUUGGGCCUCUGUGAUGACGGUAGAAUCUGGAAGUCAGAAGUCCAUAUCCUAGAUCAGCUGCUUUGCUGGGCUGACCUUUUUCAGUGUGAUACUGCAUCCCAAACUCCUGACCUCUCCAGAGAACUCGGGGUGUUCUCCCAAGAUGCUGGGCCUCUGGGAAGCAUCUCCUUAGGUGAACAGCCCCAGGAUGCCUCCUUCUUAAGUCGAUUUAAGUUACUCCACCCUAUCAACCCCCAAGUGUGAAAGAUCGCAGUUAUUCCUCAGGGAAGCACGGAGUUGUUCCUAACUCUACUUUGCCUUCUUAGAACACAUUUGCUUCUGGUUGAAAUGAAAAUUUUCAGUAAAGUGUUUUUUUUUUCUGUAUUUUUUUUUUUAUUUCCUUAAACCUCUGUUUUGGGUGAAGCACUACCGCAGAAGUCUAGUGUCAUACAAAAGUACAAUUGGAAUCUUUGAAUGUAACCCUCAUCCAAUAGCAGACAUUUUAAAAAUCACUUUUAUAAAUAUUUUAAAUGUGUUCCAAACAGCACUGACCUCCUCAAUAGGUAAUUUUGUUAAAGGACUAGGCUUUGGCUGUUUUUUUUUUUUUUUUUCUGACUUGUUGAUUUAGAGACCAGCUGCCUCCUAGGAAAUUGUGAUCAAAAACUAUAAAAGCAGACCGUAAAUAAGUCAAAUGCAUGAGUAGGAAUUGGGAAACUUGAUUUGUCCUGUGAUUCAAUCUGGGCUAAAUAUUGGUGCCACUUGAAAUUACUAUCCUUAGGGAAGUCAUUAACAAUCCCCCAAAUGUUUGUAUGUGCCUGUAUGCAAGUGUAUGUUGUAUAUUUACAAUUUCAUCCCAUGUUCUGUCUCUCCAGUUUUAUGAUUCUAGAUUUGGUGACCUCUGACUCCUCCUUCUCUAUUCCUAACACUGUGUAACUUAGAGAGGAUCAGGUAAGCUAGGAUGUCCCAAAUGCAAUUUCAUUACAUUAAAGAGAAAUACACUAUCUAAGAAGUAGAAAAAAUGGGAUGAGUGUGAUAAAAUGAUUUAGUGCAAGAUGGCGGAUGCAGUAGAGACAAGGAGCACAGAGGAGGAGCUUCUUGUUCAGCAGGGAGAGCAGAAGUGUGCCCAGGAAAGUUCUGCAAAUAAGUACUGUCUAUCCCAGGCUUAAAAGGCAAAUUAGAAUUAGCCAGAUGAAAGUGAGCAGGUAGGACAAAAAGUGUUGCAGAGGGAAUAGCAAAGAACAAAGCCCAUGACUCCUGAGAAAGAAAAACUAUUUUUAUUUAUUUUAAACCCACAAUAAUAACUAUUUCUCAAAAGAGUAUAGGAGAAGAAUAAUUGAAAUAUGGCACAAAGUGGCAAUAAAAGGUUUGACUAAUUGGACUAUACCCUCGCCCUAUUCUUAACUUAUUCACUGGUUUGAUAUUUAAUUGCUCUCUAGGAGGAUAUUGACUGUCUCUACACCAGUGACUUCUGCAACUAGGUAGUAUGAGAUCUACUUGAAAACCGUGGAAUUUUCAGUAGGAACAUAGUAAAAUUUUGAAGGAAAGAAAUUCUGAGAAUAAAAUAAAAUUUUAUUCACUUGAAUUCUAUUUCAUUGUGAGCUGAAGGAAAAAAGAAAGCUUUUCAAAAAAUGCUAUAAUUUCUCUAUUUUCUAAAUUGGCCCUUUAUUCGAUAUUGUCCUAUUCUCAUAUAUAUCAGUGAUUCUAAAAGUGUGGUCCUGGGACCAGCACCAUUAUCAUUCACAGAGAGCCUGUUAGAAAUGCAAAUCCUUAAGCCCCAUCCUAGGCCUACUGAAUCAGAAACUCUGGGCAUUGGACCCAACAAUCUAUGUUUUUACACUCCCUCCAGGCAAUUCUGAUGGGUAUCAAAGUUUAAGAAUCACUGGUCUCUACUUUUCAUGUAUUUUGUACAAAACAGUUUAUAUUAUCUUCUUAUUCAUUACAUUAAUUUUGUACAUAUAUUUUCUUUCAAUAACUAACUUUUAAAUUCCUUAUGGACAAUAAUCCUAUCUUUGUACCAGCUCUAUGAGAUAUAACUGAAAUACAAUAAACUGCACAUUACAGUAUAUAAUUGGAUCCAUUUUGACAUACAUAUACAUCCAUGAAACCAAUACCUUAAUCAACAUAAUAAACAGGGAUCUCACCCCAAAAGUUUUCUUUUGCCACCUUAUAAUCCUUUUUUUCUGACCCCUUUACUGACCUACUUCCCCCAUCUCAAGGCUAAUCACUUAUCUGCUUUUUGCCUCUAUGGAUAAGUCUUCAUUUUGUAGAGUUUCAUGUAAGUGGAAUCCUACAGUAUAUAUUCUUUCUUAUCUGGUUUGUCUCAAUCAGUAUAAUUAUUUUAACAUAUAUCCAUGUUGUUGAAUCAGUAGUUAGUUCCUUUUUAUUACUGAGGUACCAUCAAAUUGUAUAAGCUACAACGUGUUUAUUCAGUUACUGUCAGUGGAUUUUUGUGUUAUUUUAGCCUGGGCUUUUGGAGGGAUCACGAGGUCAUGAGUUCGAGGCCAGCCUGGCCAACAUGGUGAAACCCCAUCUCUACUAAAAAUACAAAAAUUAGCUGGGCGUGGUGGCACGCACCUGUAAUCCCAGCUACUCAGGAGGUUGAAGCAGGAGAAUCACUUGAACCCAAGAGAUGGAGGUUGUAGUGAGCCAAGAUCAUGCCACUGUACUCCAGCCAGGGCAACAGAGCAAGAUUCUGCCUUAAAAAAAAAAUAAAUAAAUAAA